GGCCAUAGCUUAGUGGUAGAGCACUUGCCUAGCAUGUGUGAGGCACUGGGUUCAAUCCUCAGUACCA
Molecule: transfer RNA, 67 nt
Filed under: Marmota monax (woodchuck)
Lineage: Eukaryota; Metazoa; Chordata; Mammalia; Rodentia; Sciuridae
Description: tRNA.Ala
Source: RNAcentral